Molecule: ribosomal RNA, 1354 nt
Filed under: uncultured bacterium
Lineage: Bacteria
Description: bacterial SSU rRNA
Rfam family: Bacterial small subunit ribosomal RNA
Source: RNAcentral
AUGAACGCUGGCGGCGUGCUUAACACAUGCAAGUCGAACGGUGAAGCAGAGCUUGCUCUGUGGAUCAGUGGCGAACGGGUGAGUAAUACGUGAGCAAUCUGCCCCUGACUCUGGGAUAAGCGCUGGAAACGGUGUCUAAUACUGGAUAAGAGCCAUGGCCGCAUGGUCUGUGGUUGGAAAGAUUUUUCGGUUGGGGAUGAGCUCACGGCCUAUCAGCUUGUUGGUGAGGUAAUGGCUCACCAAGGCGUCGACGGGUAGCCGGCCUGAGAGGGUGACCGGCCACACUGGGACUGAGACACGGCCCAGACUCCUACGGGAGGCAGCAGUGGGGAAUAUUGCACAAUGGGCGGAAGCCUGAUGCAGCAACGCCGCGUGAGGGAUGACGGCCUUCGGGUUGUAAACCUCUUUUAGCAGGGAAGAAGCUUUUGUGACGGUACCUGCAGAAAAAGCGCCGGCUAACUACGUGCCAGCAGCCGCGGUAAUACGUAGGGCGCAAGCGUUAUCCGGAAUUAUUGGGCGUAAAGAGCUCGUAGGCGGUUUGUCGCGUCUGCUGUGAAAUCCCGAGGCUCAACCUCGGGCCUGCAGUGGGUACGGGCAGACUAGAGUGCGGUAGGGGAGAUUGGAAUUCCUGGUGUAGCGGUGGAAUGCGCAGAUAUCGGGAGGAACACCGAUGGCGAAGGCAGAUCUCUGGGCCGUAACUGACGCUGAGGAGCGAAAGGGUGGGGAGCAAACAGGCUUAGAUACCCUGGUAGUCCACCCCGUAAACGUUGGGAACUAGUUGUGGGGUCCAUUCCACGGAUUCCGUGACGCAGCUAACGCAUUAAGUUCCCCGCCUGGGGAGUACGGCCGCAAGGCUAAAACUCAAAGGAAUUGACGGGGACCCGCACAAGCGGCGGAGCAUGCGGAUUAAUUCGAUGCAACGCGAAGAACCUUACCAAGGCUUGACAUACACCAGAACACCCUGGAAACAGGGGACUCUUUGGACACUGGUGAACAGGUGGUGCAUGGUUGUCGUCAGCUCGUGUCGUGAGAUGUUGGGUUAAGUCCCGCAACGAGCGCAACCCUCGUUCUAUGUUGCCAGCACGUAAUGGUGGGAACUCAUGGGAUACUGCCGGGGUCAACUCGGAGGAAGGUGGGGAUGACGUCAAAUCAUCAUGCCCCUUAUGUCUUGGGCUUCACGCAUGCUACAAUGGCCGGUACAAAGGGCUGCGAUACCGUAAGGUGGAGCGAAUCCCAAAAAGCCGGUCCCAGUUCGGAUUGAGGUCUGCAACUCGACCUCAUGAAGUCGGAGUCGCUAGUAAUCGCAGAUCAGCAACGCUGCGGUGAAUACGUUCCCGGGUCUUGCACACACCGC